This 253-nucleotide ribosomal RNA is filed under the name uncultured bacterium. RNAcentral's name for it is "partial 16S ribosomal RNA". It matches the Rfam family "Bacterial small subunit ribosomal RNA", at positions 524 to 776 of the family's 1533-position model. The record is from RNAcentral.
UACGGGGGGGGCAAGCGUUGUUCGGAAUUACUGGGCGUAAAGGGCUCGUAGGUGGCCAACUAAGUCAUACGUGAAAUCCCUCGGCUUAACCGGGGAACUGCGUCUGAUACUGGAUGGCUUGAGUUUGGGAGAGGGACGCGGAAUUCCAGGUGUAGCGGUGAAAUGCGUAGAUAUCAGGAGGAACACCAAUUGCGAAGGCAGCUCGCUGGGACGUUACUGACGCUGAGACGCGAAAGCGUGGGGAGCAAACAGG